UUUUAAAAAUCCCUUAAAUGGACCAGGUUGCUUGUUAGUUUUAAAGUUCUGAUUUUCUUUUCUUAUGGUGAAAGACAAGGAAAAUUAGCCUGUAGAAAUAUGUAACAAGUUUACUCAUUACUCCCAGAAAUUCUUUCUCUGGUAUGCUGAAUAAUGGCCCCAAGGAUAGCAAGCCCUAAUUCCUAGAACCUAUAAAUGUUUCUUUAUAUGACAAAAAGGUAAAUAUUACUUUAUUUAGCAAAAGAUAUGAUUAAGUUAAGGAUCUUGAGAUGGGGAAUUAACCUACAUUAUCUGGGUGGGCCCUAAAUGCAAUCACGUUUAUCUUUAUGAGAGGGAGGCAGAGGGAGAUGCUAACAUGGAAGAGAGGAGGAGAAGGCAGUACCACUGUGGAGGCAGAAAUUGGAGUGAGGUGGUCAGUGAAUGGUGGCAGCCACCAGAAAGCUGGAGGAGACAGCAGAUUGUCCCCUAGAGCCUCCAGAGGAAGUACAGCCUUGCCAACACCUUGAUUUUAGCCCAGUGAACCCAAUUUCAGACUUGUAGCCUGCGGAACUGUAACAGAUGUUUAAAACAACAUCUCUGUUGUUUUAAACCACCAAGUGUGGCAGUCUGUUAUAGCAGCCAUGGGAAACAUAUACCCUUUCUUUAUGCCCAAGUUAAGAUCCAGCUUCUAUACAAUUUUUAUGUCAAAUAUUUCAUUUUAUUGGAGGUUCCUUUUCUUCAAACUCAGUUCUAUAUGUUGAGCACUUCUCAGUGUAGACUCUUAGUGAGUUCUGUUGAAGGAAGAGGAGAUAAGGACGUGGUCUUUCUUCAGAGGGACAGCAAUCUUGUUGGGGAGAAGCAACCAGAAACAGUAAAAUAAAGUGUGCAAUUGGACCUUACCAUUUACUUCAUUCAUUCAUUUGCCCAACAAACGUUUACCAGGUGCCUGCAGUGUGCCAGGCAGUGUUCUAGUGUUGCAGAACACAAAUAUACAAAUGAAUGAGUUCCUUCCCUUGGGAAAUUUAUGUUCUAGUGAGGAAGGUGGACAAAAACAAGUAAGUAUAGCAUGUUGAAGGUGGCAAAUAAAAAGGAGAACAUUUUAACAGGAUAAUAGGAAAAGGGAUUGGGGUAGGUACCAUUUAAUAUAGGGUGGUCCAGGGAUGGCCUGUCCAAUAACUAAUAUGUUGUUUGGUCAGAGAUCUGGAGAGAAAAGUUAUACAGCUCUAUGGGGGCCUGGGGUAGGAGGUGUUAGCAGAAGGAGCAGGAGUGCAAAAAUUCUUGAAGCAGGAGUGUGAUUGGUGUGCUUUUGAGGAACAGCAAGGAAGCUGUUUGUGUCAGAGUGAGUGGAGCAGAUGUGGAGGAGAGGGAUGUAAGUGGGGGUCGGGGAGGGUGUGGUGGAGGAGCAGGUGAUGUUGGAGCCCAGGGGCCCUUGAGAAGUCUUUGGCUUUUAAUUUGACUGAGGUAGGAAGCCAGCACAGGGCUUUGAGCUGUUGUGGAGUCAGUUAAGUGAUCUAACUUGUAUUUUGGAAGGAUCUCUGGUUGCUGUGUGGAGCUAAACGGCAAAGGGGCAGUCAAGAGGGGAGACCAAUUAGGCUACCGCAGUCAUCUCCAUAAAAAAUAAUGUUGUCUCAGGUCAGUGUAAUGCAGCUGGUGAGAAAUGACCAGAUCCUGGAUAUAUUUUGAUGGUAGACUCUGCAGUAUUUGUUGACAGUUGGAUGUGGGGUGUAAGAUCACAGUCACCUAACAUACUGGAAGGUGAAACUACCUUUUGCUGAAAUGGGAAAGACUGUUGAUAAAGCAUGUUUAGAGUGAAAAAGGCAAGAGUUGGUUUUAGGUGUGUCUACUUGAGAGAUGCCUGUUAUCCACCCAUGUGGAGAAGUGGAGGAAGCAGAUUAGAGUUCAUGGGCAAGAACCCACCUAUCAGUGGUAAAGGGCUCUUACAGUCAUUGAUUUGUGCUUAUGCAAGACAUGAGCUUAAGGUAGCACUUACCUAUUCACCCACCUUUACCUGCCACUUCCUACCUAUGAGACAGGUGCUGGGUGAGCCCAGACCACAGAGCUGAGGAGUGCAGUAGAGCCAUGCCCAGCUACCAGUAGUGCAAUGCAUCCUUGUUCUCAAGCUGUGGCAUGACCAGCGAGAUACCAGUCAGGCCUUGGUGUGAAUUCCAGCUCUGGCCAGGCAGUCUGGCAUCACUCACAGAGCCUCAGUGUCCUCAUCUCUGGAUUAAACAUAAUAACAUUGUCUUUCAGGGGUGUCUGAGUGUUGGAAGACUGUCAGCCCUCAAGUUCUGUCAAUGUCUCUCAAAUCUCUGCACUUCAUCUUCCUGUCAAGUCUUUUUGGUGCUGGUUUUACCCCCCCUAAACCUAUCCUAAACAGUAUAGCUAGAAUAAUCUAAGUGCAGGUCAGAUGAGGUCAGUCCCCUCCUUGCCCAUAGGAUAACUGAUCAUAAACAUGACUUCCAAGGUUCUUUGUGAUCUGCCUCUCCGUUACUCUCCAGCCUCAACUCUGUCCCCUUCUUCCCCCAUGCCCUUCAUUUCUGUCCGAUUGAGCUUCCAGUUGAAGGCCCUAUGCUGUCAUAUCACCGUGUUCUCCUGUGUUGUCUCUCCUGCUUCAACUUACAUGUCACUUCUUCCAGGAAGUCUUCCUGCCCUAGCAGGAGAUGCCCCUGCUCUGUACUUCCCUGUCACACUUCAGUAAAGUGCCUUAUUUUUGUGUCUCCCCCACUGCACCAUAAUCUUAAGAAAAUAAUGAUAUCUAUUUCACAAAGGCCUUAACUCAGGAGCACUGCCAGUAACUGCCCAAAAAAGUGUUCACUAAUAUUGCCGAUACAUUUGCUUUUUUAUUAUACUUCAAACCAUUUGAAAGACUGUUCCUCAUGUACUUAUAUCAGCACAUUAAAACAGUUGUCCAUUUGGCAUUGUGGAAUGUGCCAUUAGAUGAUUUAGUAGUUUCCCUAGUAAGUGUGGGAAGAAGAGUGGAUAACUUAUAAGCUCAAAAGUCUACCAGAAGGGAAGAAAAUUGGAGAAGUGGACAGGCAGUUAUAUGAAACGGACAAGAGACAAAUGGCAAAAAGCAAUCAAGGAAGAAGACAGCCGGUCACUUCUAUGUGGAGGCUUCUACCUCUGCAGCCAUGGGUUCAAGCCCCGCCUGAGGGAAAGUGGGCACUCUGCAUUCACUGAGUCGCUGCAGUGUUGCUGGGCAGCAACUCAGUAUACUACGUAUAUUAAAAAACAAAACCUUACAAAAGUUUAUGUACCCAUUGGUAUCAAUUCUACUUCUAGGAAUUUAUCCUAAGUAAACAAAAGUCCUAAAGUUUUAUAUAUAAGUAUGUUGAUUGCACUAUUGCUUACAAUAGAUAUAAAAACAAAAAAAUAUGCCCCCAAAGGGGGUUGAUUAAGUAUAGUACAUUCAUGUAAUAAAAGGCAAUCAUCCCUCAGUGCCUGUGGGGAAUUGGUUCCAGGACCCCUGUGGAUCCUGGGCUCCUCUGAUGCUUAUAUAAAUGAUGUAACAUUUGCAUAUAUAAAAUGAUGCGGUAUUUGCAUAUAACCUAUGCACAUCCUCCUGUAUACUUUAAAUCAUCUGUAGAUUACUUAUAACACCUGAUACAAUGCCUACACAUCACUGCAUUUGCAUAGACUUAAUGAAGUAGUUGGUGUACAGCAAGGUCAAGUUUUGCUUUUUGGAAUUUUGUAGAAUUUUUUUUUUUCCUGAAUAUUUCUGAUCCUUGUUUGGUUAAAUCCAUGAAUGUAGAAUUCAUGGAUGCAAAACCCAUGGAUAUGGAGGGCUCACUGUAUUAUAACAACUUUACAGAAUUAUGUUGUAGAAGAAUCUUUAAAUAACAUAUUGAAUUACUUGUAUUAAAUUGUUAGGUUAAUAAAAGUAGCUUUCAUAAAAAAGAUUAUUAAUGGUGUUCUCUUUGUGCUGGAACAAUGACUAAUGCUUGUUUUCCCCUUUGAGUUUUUCUAUAUUUUAGAAUUUUCCAUACCAUAGUUACAGUUAAUGGUAGCAGCUAUAAAAGAACACUAUGUAAAAGAAAAAGGAAAAAUCCCUGAUCACUGACAGAAGUUGUACUUGGAUUAGUACUUGACUUCAGGUUCAGUCUCACCAGGAAAGCUGAACUUAUGUGAAUCAGGCUUUAUUGAGGAAUAAAGUUGGUGAAUAU
RNAcentral lists this long non-coding RNA (4142 nucleotides) under Homo sapiens (human). Its description in RNAcentral is "non-protein coding lnc-AMPH-13:1". The record is from RNAcentral. Lineage: Eukaryota; Metazoa; Chordata; Mammalia; Primates; Hominidae.